Molecule: RNA transcript, 1420 nt
Organism: Cercocebus atys (sooty mangabey)
Lineage: Eukaryota; Metazoa; Chordata; Mammalia; Primates; Cercopithecidae
Gene name: peptidyl-prolyl cis-trans isomerase D pseudogene
Exons: 1
Source: RefSeq, a predicted model, not a curated record
UGAGUUGCCGGGCGGCCACGAGGAUCUGCAUCCAAAUGCGUGUGCAAGUCGAGAUGUCGCAUCCGUCCCCCCAAGUCAAGCCCUCCAACCCCAGUAACCCUCGAGUCUUCUUUGACGUGGACAUCGGAGGGGAGCGAGUUGGUCGAAUUGUCUUAGAAUUGUUUGCAGAUAUUGUACCCAAAACUGAGGAAAAUUUUCGUGCACUGUGUACAGGAGAAAAAGGCAUUGGACCCACGACUGGGAAACCUCUCCAUUUCAAAGGAUGCCUUUUUCUUCGAAUUAUUAAGAAAUUUAUGAUUCAGGGUGGAGACUUCUCAAAUCAGAAUGGGACAGGUGGAGAAAGUAUUUAUGGUGAAAAAUUUGAAGAUGAAAAUUUCCAUUAUAAGCAUGAUUGGGAGGGUUUACUAAGCAUGGCAAACGCAGGUUGCAACACAAAUGGUUCUCAGUUUUUUAUCACAACAGUUCCAACUCCUCAUUUGGAUGGGAAACGUGGUGUUUGGCCAAGUAGUUAAAGGAAUAGGAGUGACAAGGAUAUUGGAAAAUGUGGAAGUGAAAGGUGAAAAACCUGCUAAAUUGUGCAUUAUUGCAGAAUGUGGAGAAUUGAAGGAAGGAGAUGAUUGGGGAAUAUUCCCAAAAGAUGGCUCUGGCGGCAGUCAUCCAGAUUUCCCUGAGGAUGCGGAUAUAGAUUUAAAAGAUGUAGAUAAAAUUUUAUUAAUAACAGAAGACUUAAAAAAUAUUGGAAAUACUUUUUUCAAAUCCCAGAACUGGGAGAUGGCCAUUAAAAAAUAUGCAAAAGUUUUAAGAUAUGUGGACAGUUCAAAGGCUGUUAUUGAGACAGCAGAUAGAGCCAAACUGCAACCUACAGCUUUAAGCUGUGUGCUGAAUAUUGGUGCUUGUAAACUGAAGAUGUCAAAUUGGCAGGGAGCAAUUGACAGUUGUUUGGAGGCUCUUGAAAUAGACCUAUCAAAUACCAAAGCAUUGUACCGCAGAGCUCAAGGAUGGCAAGGAUUAAAAGAAUAUGAUCAAGCAUUGGCUGAUCUUAAGAAAGCAGAGGAGAUAGCACCAGAAGAUAAAGCUAUCCAGGCAGAACUGUUGAAAGUCAAACAAAAGAUAAAGUCACAGAAAGAGAAAGAGAAGGCAGUAUAUGCAAAAAUGUUUGCUUAGAAAGCAUUCAGUUUUGCUUAUUGUGUGUUGUGUAAAUGCAAUAAGAAAAUGUAAAUUUUUUGUCUAUUAAUAUGAUCCCUAAUGUGUUUCUUUUGACACCUUAGUUCCUUAUUGUUUACAGUUUAGGAGUACUGAUAGGGGUUCAUGCUUAAUAAACGUGUCACAAUACAGUCAGUAAAGUGGUUUUGUUUGUUUCUUUGAGAUGGAGUCUUGCUCUGUCACCCAGGCUGGAGUGCAGUGGCACGAUCUCGGCUCA